AACACUCAAAUCUGCCAUGUAGUCUUCCGUCCAUCACCAAGAUCACCAAGAGGCAAAAACUUACGAAACUAUCCUUUUUUUUUUCCACAAAACACUUGAAAGUUCUUUUCCUUUGUAACUAGCUCUUUUGGAAUUCGGCAGCCGCUCCAUUAACAUCCGUAAUUCUGUCACUUCAGUCUGUAUUCAGAGCUCACAGUUCUACCAUUUCAACAAUAAAUUGAGCACUUGCCGAAGGGUUUGAUUUUGCCAUCAGUAAACAUGCCAUACUUCGGUGGAAUGCUAAUAAAAACCGGCUAUUGGUUCGAUUCUUGCUACUCUUGAGAGGAGAUGCUUCAACGGAAGCCGCUGUGAUCAAAACCUUUGUUGUACUGAUUAUUUACCAAAAUUGCUUUUUCUUUCCCUGCAAUCAUAGAAGGAAAAGCUAAUAAAUGAUCGAGUUUCCGCAAAUCCUUUGCAGGAAUGCGGAAUUGGUGCAUAAUAUCGUAUUUUUCUUUAUCUCCACAAGACUAGCUUCCCCAUUACUGUCUAAUGAGACCCAGCUUCUACUUCUUGAACUGCAACAAACCCUUCUCAACCCACUGGCAGACAACUUUCAAUGCUAAAAAAAUAAGUAAAAUUCAUCUGUAUUA
Papaver somniferum (opium poppy) is the source of this 629-nucleotide long non-coding RNA. RefSeq lists it as uncharacterized. The record is from RefSeq and is a predicted model, not a curated record. NCBI's taxonomy places the organism in Eukaryota, Viridiplantae, Streptophyta, Magnoliopsida, Ranunculales, Papaveraceae. The transcript has 2 exons.